GUGCAGCAGGCGCGAAGAUUCCGCAAUGCCCGAAAGGGCGACGGAGUGAACCCGAGUGCCACCCGCUGAGGGUGGCUGUUCCCCUGUGUAAAAAGCAGGGGGCAGGAAGGGGAGGGCAAGGCUGGUGGCAGCCGCCGCGGUAAAACCAGCUCCCCGAGGGGUUCCCACGCAUACUGGGCCUAAAGCGUCCGUAGCCGGCCCUGUAAGUCUGCAGUUAAAUCCGCCUGUAGACAGGCGGGUUGCUGCAGAUACUGCAGGGCUAGGGAGCGGGAGGAGCCGGGGGUAUUCCCGGGGGAGCGGUAAAAUGCGUAGAUCCCGGGAGGACCACCAGUGGCGAAGGCGCCCGGCUUGAACGCGUCCGACGGUGAGGGACGAAAGCUGGGGGAGCAAAAGGGAUUAGAGACCCCUGUAGUCCUGGCUGUAAACGAUGCGGGCUAGGUGUUGGCUGAGCUUCGUGCUCAGCCAGUGCCGCAGGGAAGCCGUUAAGCCCGCCGCCUGGGGAGUACGGCCGCAAGGCUGAAACUUAAAGGAAUUGGCGGGGGAGCAC
This 547-nucleotide ribosomal RNA is filed under the name uncultured archaeon. RNAcentral describes it as "bacterial SSU rRNA". It matches the Rfam family "Archaeal small subunit ribosomal RNA", at positions 330 to 879 of the family's 1478-position model. The record is from RNAcentral.